This 89-nucleotide transfer RNA is filed under the name Phikzvirus phiKZ. Its description in RNAcentral is "Pseudomonas virus phiKZ tRNA-Asn". It matches the Rfam family "tRNA". From Rfam's summary of the family: Transfer RNA (tRNA) molecules are approximately 80 nucleotides in length. Lineage: Duplodnaviria; Heunggongvirae; Uroviricota; Caudoviricetes; Chimalliviridae. The record is from RNAcentral.
UUGGUAAGUACCCGAGUGGCAGCAGGGAGCGGACUGUUAAUCCGUUGGCGAAAGCCCACCGUAGGUUCGAAUCCUACCUUACCAGCCAA